GCAUCCUUAGCUCAGGGGUAGAGCGUCUCCUUUACACGGAGAGGGUCCGCGGUUCGAAACCGUGAGGAUGUACCA
Molecule: transfer RNA, 75 nt
Filed under: bacterium
Lineage: Bacteria
Description: tRNA-Val
Rfam family: tRNA
About the family: Transfer RNA (tRNA) molecules are approximately 80 nucleotides in length.
Source: RNAcentral